Molecule: ribosomal RNA, 256 nt
Filed under: uncultured bacterium
Lineage: Bacteria
Description: partial 16S ribosomal RNA
Rfam family: Bacterial small subunit ribosomal RNA
Source: RNAcentral
GACCUACGGGACGCAGCAGUGAGGAAUAUUGGUCAAUGGGCUUACGCCUGAACCAGCCAAGUCGCGUGAGGGAAGACUGCCCUAUGGGUUGUAAACCUCUUUUGUCAGGGAGCAACGCCGGCUACGUGUAGCCGGACUGAGAGUACCCGAAGAAAAAGCAUCGGCUAACUCCGUGCCAGCAGCCGCGGUAAUACGUAGGUGGCAAGCGUUAUCCGGAUUUAUUGGGUGUAAAGGGCGUGUAGGCGGGAUUGCAAGC